Molecule: ribosomal RNA, 382 nt
Filed under: uncultured organism
Description: partial 16S ribosomal RNA
Rfam family: Bacterial small subunit ribosomal RNA
Source: RNAcentral
GGAGGGUGCAAGCGUUAUUCGGAAUCACUGGGCGUAAAGAGCGCGUAGGCGGGGUUUCUAAAGUCAGAUGUGAAAGCCCCGGGGGCUCAACCGUCGGAAGUGCAUUUGGAAACUUUAGGGACUUGAGUAUGGGAGAGGGAAGUGGAAUUCCUGGUGUAGCGGUGAAAUGCGUAGAUAUCAGGAGGAACACCGGUGGCGAAGGCGACUUCCUGGACCAAUACUGACGCUGAGGCGCGAAGGCGUGGGGAGCAAACAGGAUUAGAUACCCUGGUAGUCCACGCAGUAAACGUUGAACACUAGGUGUAGCGGGGUUAUUCGACCCCCUGCUGUGCCGCAGCUAACGCAUUAAGUGUUCCGCCUGGGGAGUACGGCCGCAAAGGCU